AUCCAGAUGAUGAGUCCCAAAACAGGAAGAAAUAUGCAUCCUGGAU
RNAcentral lists this non-coding RNA (46 nucleotides) under Trichobilharzia regenti. The record is from RNAcentral. Lineage: Eukaryota; Metazoa; Platyhelminthes; Trematoda; Strigeidida; Schistosomatidae.